UACGUAGGGGGCAAGCGUUGUCCGGAUUUAUUGGGCGUAAAGAGCGUGUAGGCGGCCAUACAGGUCCGUUGUGAAAACUGGAGGCUUAACCUCCAGACGUCGAUGGAAACCGUAUGGCUAGAGUCCGGAAGGGGAGAGUGGAAUUCCUGGUGUAGCGGUGAAAUGCGCAGAUAUCAGGAGGAAUACCGGUGGCGAAGGCGGCAUCCUGGACCGACAUUGACGCUGAGGAGCGAAUGCUAGGGGAGCAAACGGG
RNAcentral lists this ribosomal RNA (253 nucleotides) under uncultured bacterium. Its description in RNAcentral is "partial 16S ribosomal RNA". It matches the Rfam family "Bacterial small subunit ribosomal RNA", at positions 524 to 776 of the family's 1533-position model. The record is from RNAcentral.